RNAcentral lists this ribosomal RNA (285 nucleotides) under uncultured Sphingobacteriales bacterium. RNAcentral describes it as "partial 16S ribosomal RNA". It matches the Rfam family "Bacterial small subunit ribosomal RNA", at positions 1100 to 1382 of the family's 1533-position model. The record is from RNAcentral. Lineage: Bacteria; Pseudomonadati; Bacteroidota; Sphingobacteriia; Sphingobacteriales.
AACCCCUACUCAUUAGUUGCCAUCAGGUCAAGCUGGGGACGUCUAAUGAAACUGCCUACGCAAGUAGUGAGGAAGGUGGGGAUGACGUCAAAUCAGCACGGCCCUUACGUCCAGGGCUACACACGUGCUACAAUGGCCGAUACAGAGGGCAGCUACCUGGUGACAGGAUGCAAAUCUCCAAAGUCGGUCUCAGUUCGGAUCGGAGUCUGCAACCCGACUCCGUGAAGUUGGAUUCGCUAGUAAUCGCGCAUCAGCCAUGGCGCGGUGAAUACGUUCCCGGGCCUU